RNAcentral lists this ribosomal RNA (542 nucleotides) under Rhodotorula mucilaginosa. Its description in RNAcentral is "partial large subunit ribosomal RNA". It matches the Rfam family "Eukaryotic large subunit ribosomal RNA", at positions 97 to 655 of the family's 3401-position model. The record is from RNAcentral. Lineage: Eukaryota; Fungi; Basidiomycota; Microbotryomycetes; Sporidiobolales; Sporidiobolaceae.
AGCGGGAAGAGCUCAAAUUUAUAAUCUGGCACCUUCGGUGUCCGAGUUGUAAUCUCUAGAAAUGUUUUCCGCGUUGGACCGCACACAAGUCUGUUGGAAUACAGCGGCAUAGUGGUGAGACCCCCGUAUAUGGUGCGGACGCCCAGCGCUUUGUGAUACAUUUUCGAAGAGUCGAGUUGUUUGGGAAUGCAGCUCAAAUUGGGUGGUAAAUUCCAUCUAAAGCUAAAUAUUGGCGAGAGACCGAUAGCGAACAAGUACCGUGAGGGAAAGAUGAAAAGCACUUUGGAAAGAGAGUUAACAGUACGUGAAAUUGUUGGAAGGGAAACGCUUGAAGUCAGACUUGCUUGCCGAGCAAUCGGUUUGCAGGCCAGCAUCAGUUUUCCGGGAUGGAUAAUGGUAAAGAGAAGGUAGCAGUUUCGGCUGUGUUAUAGCUCUCUACUGGAUACAUCCUGGGGGACUGAGGAACGCAGUGUGCCUUUGGCGGGGGUUUCGACCUCUUCACACUUAGGAUGCUGGUGGAAUGGCUUUAAACGACCCGUCUU